Corapipo altera (White-ruffed manakin) is the source of this 287-nucleotide long non-coding RNA. RefSeq lists it as uncharacterized. Lineage: Eukaryota; Metazoa; Chordata; Aves; Passeriformes; Pipridae. The transcript has 5 exons. The record is from RefSeq and is a predicted model, not a curated record.
AAACGUCCAUCCACGGUGCUCAAGGAGCAAGUUAGUGCAUGUGGCCUGUUGGUUUAUAGCCAGUGCUUUAGAUGCAAAAGCCCAGACUUAAAAACCUCUAGGCAGCAAUCUCUGGACUCUGGUGGUGAAGAAUUCAUAGAUCUCACAGGUGAAUCUUCCAAGCCAAUCUAACUGGCGAUAGUUCUGUUGUGCACAUGGCCAACAGGUCCUGUUAGUUCUCCAGUUUGGGUGGAUAUGAACUCAGAGCUUCCUGAAGAGUAUAUACAACAAAUGAGAAAUCUUUCACU